This 428-nucleotide ribosomal RNA is filed under the name uncultured bacterium. RNAcentral describes it as "bacterial SSU rRNA". It matches the Rfam family "Bacterial small subunit ribosomal RNA", at positions 28 to 450 of the family's 1533-position model. The record is from RNAcentral.
GAUGAACGCUGGCGGCGUGCCUAAUACAUGCAAGUCGAACGGGGACUACUUGAAUUCGUUUGAGUAGUCUUAGUGGCGAACGGGUGAGUAACGCGUUGGUGACCUGCCCCGAAGCGGGGGAUACCAGUUCGAAAGGACUGCUAAUACCCCAUGAAGUCAAAUGGAUUAGAAGCCAUAUGACAAAAGGAGAAAUUCGCUUUGGGAGGGGCCUGCGUCCCAUCAGCUAGUUGGUAGGGUAAAAGCCUACCAAGGCUAUGACAGGUAGGGGACCUGAGAGGGUGGCCCCCCACACUGGAACUGAAACACGGUCCAGACACCUACGGGUGGCAGCAGUAGGGAAUAUUGCUUAAUGGGCGAAAGCCUGAAGCAGCAACGCCGCGUGUGCGAUGAAGGCCUUCGGGUUGUAAAGCACUUUUGGAGGGAUGAGG